GGGUGUGGAUUAUGAGAUCAUUUAUUUACACAGUUAUCCCUGUCUGAUUAAUUUUUUGAUGUAUACUUGUGAUCUGACACAUAA
Erigeron canadensis is the source of this 84-nucleotide small nucleolar RNA. RefSeq annotates it as small nucleolar RNA R38. The transcript has a single exon. Lineage: Eukaryota; Viridiplantae; Streptophyta; Magnoliopsida; Asterales; Asteraceae. The record is from RefSeq and is a predicted model, not a curated record.